Molecule: small nucleolar RNA, 90 nt
Filed under: Anabas testudineus (climbing perch)
Lineage: Eukaryota; Metazoa; Chordata; Actinopteri; Anabantiformes; Anabantidae
Source: RNAcentral
GAUCUCUUGUGAUGUAUUGCACUGGGCUCAGAAGAUCAGUGGUGACAGACGUGCGCUUCUGCCCUUGACAAGGCAGAGUCUGAGGAGAAC